CAAUAGCGUAUAUUAAUGUUGUUGCAGUUAAAAAGCUCGUAGUUGGAUUUCUGAUGGGAGCCCUGGUCACUCUAACGAGUGUACUGAUGUGGCGUCUCGUCGUUUCAUGGGGAUGCUUGCUGGUAUUAAGUUAUCGGCUUGUGGAUCCAUGUCGUUUACUGUGAAAAAAUUAGAGUGUUCAAAGCAGGCCAUCGCUGUGAAUACAUUAGCAUGGAAUAAUAAGAUAGGACUGUGGUGCUAUUUUGUUGGUUUGCGUACUACGGUAAUGAUUAAUAGGGAUAGUUGGGGGUAUUCAUAUUCAAUUGUCAGAGGUGAAAUUCUUGGAUUUAUGGAAGAUGAACUACUGCGAAAGCAUUUACCAAGGAUGUUUUCAUUA
Molecule: ribosomal RNA, 376 nt
Filed under: uncultured eukaryote
Lineage: Eukaryota
Description: partial 18S ribosomal RNA
Rfam family: Eukaryotic small subunit ribosomal RNA
Source: RNAcentral